Small nucleolar RNA from Callithrix jacchus (white-tufted-ear marmoset), 103 nucleotides. Lineage: Eukaryota; Metazoa; Chordata; Mammalia; Primates; Cebidae. The record is from Ensembl.
AUCCUUUUGUAGUUCAUAAGCAUGAUGAUUGACUUCUCAUGCUAUUGUGUGAGAUGUGCCUCCUCAAAUUUUGUUGCAACAUCGGCACAUUACUGAACUGAUA